This 923-nucleotide long non-coding RNA is filed under the name Marmota monax (woodchuck). Lineage: Eukaryota; Metazoa; Chordata; Mammalia; Rodentia; Sciuridae. The record is from RNAcentral.
AAAAGGGAUGUAAAGGUUUGAAGAAAUAAACUACUAUUAAUUUAAAUGUAACUAAAUGUGAAACCCCUGAUAUUUAGCAUAUCAGAUUUUGUAAUAUAUUUUGCAUAAAUUAUUUGUUAAUCAAAAUUUUGUCAUUCUAAGCCCAAAUUAAGCUUUAUUUUUUUCCAAUAUCUAACUUCCUUACAUUGUAUUGUUUUGAGCAUUCUUAAUCCCCUAUGCUGAGAUUUGGCUUUGCACAAAAUUUAUAGAGGGCUACAAAUCUCUUAUUUGUGGGACUGAAAUCAAAUGCAAAAUUUUAUUUAUUAUGUAAAUCAAAAUGUCAUCUGCCAAGUUGUUCAUUAGAAGUUGUCCUUGCAAAGAUCCAAAAGAAAGAAUUAGUUUGUGUAAAUAAGCACUUCAAGUCUAUUUUCAGACAGUUUCAAAUUGAUAAAUGACUUAGAAAUUUUAAGGUCCCAAGGAGCCUUACAAAUGUAUGCUUUUAUUUCCUGAAACAAACCAUUUUCUUAAACAUUUAAUUUCACCUAAAGUAAGCAACUAUAAAUAAAUCAAUUUGGGAUGACAGCUCUGAGCAUCCAAGUUCCUAAGCUACAGUUAAAGGCAAAUAACUAAAAUUUUAAGACUUCUCAUAUUUGAAAUUAAAAGGGUCUUUAAAAAGAAAAGAAAAAAAAGAUGUUGGGUUAUUUGCUUCAUGUUUAUUGUGCCAUGGAAGAGGGAGGGGGGAAUGGUAAACACCUGCUAGAAUAGAUGGUGUCUGGAAUCUUUAUCCCUUUGCAAUUGUGUUAGUUUGUGUCUAAAAUUUUAAUUCUAAACUAUCUUUUUCACCAUUUGAUAAUUUCCCAUUUCCUCCAAGUACCUGCCCUUCCCAUUGAUGUCUCCAUUCCUAUCUAUUGCUCAAUCAUUUAAAUAACUAAAAUCUGUUUACC